Molecule: ribosomal RNA, 119 nt
Organism: Naegleria gruberi
Lineage: Eukaryota; Heterolobosea; Eutetramitea; Acrasida; Naegleriidae
Source: Rfam
GGCUACGGCCAUAUCACGAUGAAUGUACCUCAUCCCGUCCGAUUUGAGAAGUUAAGCAUCGUCGAGCCACAUCAGUACUGAGGUUGGAGACAACUUGGGAACCUGUGGUGCUGUAGUCU